RNAcentral lists this ribosomal RNA (490 nucleotides) under uncultured bacterium. Its description in RNAcentral is "partial 16S ribosomal RNA". It matches the Rfam family "Bacterial small subunit ribosomal RNA", at positions 29 to 506 of the family's 1533-position model. The record is from RNAcentral.
AGUGAGCGCUGGCGGUAGGCCUAACACAUGCAAGUCGAACGGCAGCACAGUAAGAGCUUGCUCUUACGGGUGGCGAGUGGCGGACGGGUGAGGAAUACAUCGGAAUCUACUUUUUCGUGGGGGAUAACGUAGGGAAACUUACGCUAAUACCGCAUACGACCUACGGGUGAAAGCAGGGGAUCUUCGGACCUUGCGCGAUUGAAUGAGCCGAUGUCGGAUUAGCUAGUUGGCGGGGUAAAGGCCCACCAAGGCGACGAUCCGUAGCUGGUCUGAGAGGAUGAUCAGCCACACUGAACUGAGACACGGUCCAGACUCCUACGGGAGGCAGCAGUGGGGAAUAUUGGACAAUGGGCGCAAGCCUGAUCCAGCCAUACCGCGUGGGUGAAGAAGGCCUUCGGGUUGUAAAGCCCUUUUGUUGGGAAAGAAAAGCAGCAGGUUAAUACCCCGCUGUUCUGACGGUACCCAAAGAAUAAGCACCGGCUAACUUCGU